This 1603-nucleotide ribosomal RNA is filed under the name uncultured eukaryote. RNAcentral describes it as "SSU rRNA". It matches the Rfam family "Eukaryotic small subunit ribosomal RNA". The record is from RNAcentral.
AACCUGGUUGAUCCUGCCAGUAGUCAUAUGCUUGUCCCAAAGAUUAAGCCAUGCAUGUCUAAGUUUAAGCACAUUGUGUGAAACUGCGAAUGGCUCAUUAAAUCAGUUAUAAUUUACUUGAUAGUCAAACUUAUCAUUGGAUAACCGUGGUAAUUCUAGAGCUAAUACAUGCAACAAGCCUGACGAGAGGAGGGCUGUAUUUAUUGGAUACGAAACUGAUGGCAGUGAUGCCUUGGUGAUUCACAAUAACUUUACGGAUCGUAUGGCCUUGAGCUGACGACGUAUCAUUCAAGUUUCUGCCCUAUCAACUUUCGAUGGUAAGAUAGGGGCUUACCAUGGUGAUAACGGGUAACGGGGAAUUGGGGUUCUAUUCCGGAGAGGGAGCCUGAGAAAUGGCUACCACGUCCAAGGAUGGCAGCAGGCGCGCAAAUUACCCAAUGCCGAUACGGCGAGGUAGUGACAGAAAAUAACGAUGCGGGGCCGCGAGGCUUUGCAAUUGGAAUGAGUACAAUUUAAAUCGCUUAACGAGUAACGAUUGGAGGGCAAGUCUGGUGCCAGCAGCCGCGGUAAUUCCAGCUCCAAUAGCGUAUAUUAAAGUUGUUGCAGUUAAAACGCUCGUAGUCUGAGAUUGGUGUUGGAGUGGUUUUGGGGACGUGAGUCUUUGGGGCUGCUUUGCGCUAUUUUUCUUGGCAUUUAGUGUCAAGAGUUACUUUGAGGAAAUUAGGGUGUUCAAAGCAGGCGUUUGCUUGGAUACUGCAGCAUGGAAUAACGGAAUAGGGCUUGCCGUCUUAUUUUGUUGGUUUGGAGGGGCGAGUAAUGAUUAAUAGGGGCGGUUGGGGGCAUUGGUAUUUGGUAGCUAGAGGUGAAAUUCUUGGAUUUACCAAAGACUAACUAGUGCGAAAGCAUUUGCCAAGGAUGUUUUCAUUGAUCAAGAACGAAAGUUAGGGGAUCGAAGACGAUUAGAUACCGUCGUAGUCUUAACCAUAAACGAUGCCGACUGGGGGUCCUUGCGUAACGCAUGUCGUUUGUGGGGGAACCUUUCGAGAAAUCAAAGUUUUUGGGUUCUGGGGGGAGUAUGGUCGCAAGGCUGAAACUUAAAGGAAUUGACGGAAGGGCACCACCAGGAGUGGAGCCUGCGGCUUAAUUUGACUCAACACGGGAAAACUCACCAGGUCCGGACAUGGUAAGGAUUGACAGACUGAGAGAUCUUUCAAGAUUCUAUGGGUGGUGGUGCAUGGCCGUUCUUAGUUGGUGGAGUGAUUUGUCUGCUUAAUUGCGAUAACGAACGAGACCUCUACCAUCUAGUGUUGGCGGGUGGGUCUGAGAGGACUUGCUUGCAUACUAGGGGACAGACUGGGGUUACCAGUAGGAAGUUUGAGGCAAUAACAGGUCUGUGAUGCCCUUAGAUGUUCUGGGCUGCACGCGCGCUACACUGAUGGAUGCAGCGAGUUUGAGCCUGAUUCGGAAGGAUUGGGAAAUCUUGUGCAAGUCCAUCGUGCUGGGGAUAGACCAUUGCAAUUAUUGGUCUUCAACGAGGAAUUCCUAGUAAAUGCGUGUCAUUAUCGCGCGUUGAUUACGUCCCUGCCCCUUGUACACACCGCCC